This is a long non-coding RNA of Pseudophryne corroboree (corroboree frog), 946 nucleotides long. RefSeq lists it as uncharacterized. The transcript has 3 exons. The record is from RefSeq and is a predicted model, not a curated record. NCBI's taxonomy places the organism in Eukaryota, Metazoa, Chordata, Amphibia, Anura, Myobatrachidae.
GACGUCAUCAUGACGCCAUCAUGUGGGCGUUGCCUUCAAGCUGAGGCAGCAGGUCACGAUGACAGCAAGAGAAAACAGGGGGCGUAUCGAGUUUACGGGGUGGAUGACGUUGCACGGCAGGUCAGUCAGCCAUCUUGGUAGAGGCAGAGAAUACUACUGAGAUUUAUUUGGGCGCAGUAGUGAUCAGUUCCGGGGAAAUCAUCUUGCCGAUUACAGGGAUGUCCCAAAUGAUGAACUCUGCUGUCAAGGCUUUUUCUAAGGCUGGGACACACCUGACCGACCCACCAGCUGACCGAGCGACCAAUUUGCUGAAGGACGGCAUUUCACCCCCUCUUAUUCCCAUUCCUAUACCAACUUCUUGGCACGACGGGAGAAAAGCAGAAGGGUGUAUGUAACAGGAUCUCAGCUUCUAUUAUAAUAAUCACAAGAUUACUACAUGUUGGUUGGUAUGACAAUUGGUGGCUCCAGAGCAAGGUUUUAUUAAAGUGAUCCAUAUGAUUCAAACCUCUGUAUACCCCUAUAUUUGGGUUACAUAUGGAUAAAUGACGAUCACUCACACACAAUUUUCAAAGGUGUUUAUUUCACCUUACCACAGGAUACCUCUAAUCUAAAGCCAAUUUCCUGAAAGACAUAUCUUCUCUGCAAACUGUGGCCUUGCUCUGCUGUUGACGACUUGGCAAUACCUACAACCAUACCACAUUAUAAAUUCUCAAUUUCAUCAGGUGUUGUAGGCAAGUAUCUGUAUUGUCAUUAGCAGUAAGGAUUUCAGUGCACGGCUUCUGUCUGAUGAAAUUUAUGCAUAUAUGCGAAAAUGUUGGGAUAAUUUCCUGUAAGAUUUUCACCAAAAGCGUGUUUAUAUAAGGUGGACAAAUUUCUUUACAAAUUGCCCUAAACUCUUUGGGCUUAUUAUUUAUUUGCGUUUAUUUCCAUAUUCUGAGUGCGUUGC